RNAcentral lists this ribosomal RNA (168 nucleotides) under Dianella caerulea (blue flax-lily). Its description in RNAcentral is "5.8S ribosomal RNA". Lineage: Eukaryota; Viridiplantae; Streptophyta; Magnoliopsida; Asparagales; Asphodelaceae. The record is from RNAcentral.
AGCGACGCGAGGCGUGACGCCCAGGCAGGCGUGCCCUCGGCCGAAUGGCCUCGGGCGCAACUUGCGUUCAAAGACUCGAUGGUUCACGGGAUUCUGCAAUUCACACCAAGUAUCGCAUUUCGCUACGUUCUUCAUCGAUGCGAGAGCCGAGAUAUCCGUUGCCGAGAG